Molecule: small nuclear RNA, 159 nt
Filed under: Nannospalax galili (Upper Galilee mountains blind mole rat)
Lineage: Eukaryota; Metazoa; Chordata; Mammalia; Rodentia; Spalacidae
Description: U1 spliceosomal RNA (ENSNGAG00000006100.1)
Rfam family: U1 spliceosomal RNA
About the family: U1 is a small nuclear RNA (snRNA) component of the spliceosome (involved in pre-mRNA splicing).
Source: RNAcentral
AUACUUAACCUGGCAAGGGAGACACCAUGAGGAAGGUGGUUUUCUCCGGGCAAGGCUCAUCCAUUGCACUUGGGACUGCUGACCCCUGCUAUUUCCCAAAAUGUGUGAAACUCCACUGCAUAAUUUGUGGUAGUGGGGGACUGCAUUAGGGCUCUCCGA